Molecule: long non-coding RNA, 2828 nt
Organism: Oncorhynchus nerka (sockeye salmon)
Lineage: Eukaryota; Metazoa; Chordata; Actinopteri; Salmoniformes; Salmonidae
Exons: 3
Source: RefSeq, a predicted model, not a curated record
UAUUCAGUUCACUUUCACGGAGAAGGGUCGAGCUGCUGCUGAGAGGAGGAUGAUGUGGCGGCGGAGAGAAUGUGCCUCUUAUCUCUUCCCAGAGGACCUGUGCCCUAGGACCAUGCCUCAGGACUACCUGGCCUGAUGACUCCUGGCUGUCCCAGUCCCCAGUCAAACUUGUUAUGCUGCUGCUCAAGUUUCAACUGUUCUGCUUGCGUUCUUUGGCUGUCCAAAGUUCUACCUGGAGAUAUACCUGGAACCAAAAAUAGUUCUUCAAAGGGUUCUCAAAUGGAGACAGCCAAAGAUAGAUAGCGCCUUUUUUUCUUAGAGUGUAGUCUUAGAAUCUCCACCCGGCCCAGCCAGAAGAGGAUUGACCACACCUCAGAGCCUGGUUCCUUAUUAGGUUCCUGCCUUUCUAGGGAGUUUUCCUAGCCACAGAGCUUUUACAUCUGCAUCGCUUGCUGUUUGGAGUUUUAGGCUGGGUUUCUGUAUAAGCACGUUGUGACAUCUGCUGAUGUAAAACAGGCUUUAUUCAGUUGAAGUUGGAAGUUUACAUACACUUAGGAUGGAGUCAUUAAAACUAGUUUUUCAACCACUCCACAAAUUUCUUGUUAACAAACUAUAGUUUUGGCAAGUCGGUUAACAUCUACAUUGUGCAUGACACAAGUAAUUUUUCUAACAAUUGCUUACAGACAGAUUAUUUCACUUAUAAUUCAAUGUAUCACAAUUCCAGUGGGUCAGAAGGAGACGUGUUCUGUCUCCUAGAGAUGAAUGUACUUUGGUGCGAAAAGUGCAAAUCAAUCCCAGAACAACAGCAAAAAACCUUGUGAAGCUGCUGGAGGAAACAGGUACAAAAGUAUCUAUAUCCACAGUAAAACAAGUCCUAUUUUGACAUAACCUGAAAGGCUGCUCAGCAAGGAAGACGCCACUGCUCCAAAACCGCCAUAAAAAAGCCAGACUACGGUUUGCAACUGCACAUGGGGACAAAGAUCGUACUUUUUGGAGAAAUGUCCUCUGGUCUGAAGAAACAAAAAUAGAACUGUUUGGCCAUAAUGACCAUCGUUAAGUUUGGAGAAUAAAGGGGGAGGCUUGCAAGCCGAAGAACACCCUCCCAACCGUGAAGCACGGGGGUGGCAGCAUCAUGUUGUGGGGGUGCUUUGCUGCAGGAGGGACUGGUCCACUUCACAAAAUAGAUGGCAUCAUGAGGCAGGAAAAUUAUGUGGGUAUAUUGAAGCAACAUCUCAAGACAUCAGUCAGGAAGUUGAAGUUUGGUCGCAAAUGGGUCUUCCAAAUGGACAAUGACCCCAAGCAUACUUCUAAAGUUGUGGCAAAAUGGCUUAAGGACAACAAAGUCAAGGUAUUGGAGUGGCCAUCACAAAGCCCUGACCUCAACCCUAUAGAAAAUUUGUUGGCAGAACUGAAAAAGCAUGUGCGAGCAAGGAGGCCUACAAACCUGACUCAGUUACACCAGCUCUGUCAGGAGUAAUGGGCCAAAUUUCACCCAACUUAUUGUGGGAAGCUUGUGGAAGGCUACCCAAAACAUUUGACCCAAGUUAAAGAAUUUAAAGGCAAUGCUACCAAUCACUAAUUGAGUGUAUGUAAACGUCUGAGCCACUGGGAAUGUGAUGAAAGAAAUUAAAGCUGAAAUAAAUCAUUCUCUCUACUAUUAUUCUGACAUUUCACAUUCUUCAAAUAAAGUGGUGAUCCUAACUGACCUAAGACAGAGAAUUUUUACUAGCAUUAAAUGUCAGGAAUUGUGAAAAACUGAGUUUAAAUGUAUUUGGCUAAGGUGUAUGUAAACUUCCGACUUCAACUGUAAAUACAUUUGAUUGAUUGAUUGAUUGAUUAACAAAAGAAAUUAGUGCCAAAAGGGUCAAUGCAGAUAUUCUGGAUAGCUAUUGGUUAACUAUUUAAUUAACAAUUUAGGAGUCUUAUACUUUGGGGGUAGAAGCUGUUCAGGAUCCUGUUGAUUCCAGACUUGGUGCAUUGCUACCGCUUGCCAUGCAGAGUCAGAGGGAACAGUCUGACUUGGGUGGCUGGAAUCUUUUACAAUUUUUAGGGCCUUCUUCUGACACCGCCUGGUAUAAAAGUCCUGGAUGGUAAGGAGCUCGGCCCCAGUAAUGUACUAAGCCGUAUGCAUAUCGUCUGUAGUGCCUUGCUGUCGGAUGCCAAGAAGUUGCCAUACCAAGUGGUGAUUCAGCCAGUCAAGAUGCUCUCAAUGGUGCAACUGUAUACCUUUUUGAGGAUCUAAGGGACCAUGACAAAUCUUUUCAGCCAACUGAGGGGGAAGAGGGAUUUCCAUGCCCUCUGCGUGACUGUGUUGAUGUGUUUGAACCAUGACAGUUCCUUAGUGAUGUGGACACACAGGAACUUGAAGCUCUCGACAUGUUCCACAACAGCCUAGUUGAUGUGCCUACUACAUGCUGUAUCUAUUUUACCAGACUGGACACCUGAUGGCUUAGACCUCUUCUUAUCACCAGCUGUCAGAGCAGCUCACAGAUUACUGCACCUGUACAUAGCCCAUCUAUAAUUUAGCCUAAACAACUACCUCUCCCCCUACUGUAUUUAUUUAUUUAUUUUGCUCCUUUUCACCCCAUUAUUUCUAUUUCUACUUUGCACAUUCUUCCACUGCAAAUCUACCAUUCCAGUGUUUUACUUGCUAUAUUGUAUUUUUUUGCCUUUCCCUCCCUUAUCUCACCUCAUUUGCUCACAUUGUAUAUAGACUUUUUUUCCUACUGUAUAAUUGACUGUAUGUUUGUUUUACUCCAUGUGUAACUCUGUGUUGUUGUAUGUGUCGAACUGCCUUUGCUUUAUCUUGGCCAGGUCGCAAUUGUAAA